GUUGUAUAGUCAAGUAAUUAAGUGCAUGUGGUGGAUGCCUUGGCAGUCAGAGGCGAUGAAAGACGUGAUAGCCUGCGAAAAGCUCCGGGGAGGCGGCAAAUAUCCUUUGAUCCGGAGAUGUCUGAAUGGGGGAACCCACCUACUUUAAGGUAGGUAUUGCAACAUGAAUACAUAGUGUUGCAAGGCGAACGAGGGGAAGUGAAACAUCUCAGUACCCUUAGGAAAAGAAAUCAAUUGAGAUUCCCUCAGUAGCGGCGAGCGAACGGGGAUCAGCCCAUUAAGUUAUGUGUGUUUUAGUGGAACGCUCUGGGAAGUGCGAACGUAGAGGGUGAUAUUCCCGUACACGAAAGGGCACACAUAAUGAUGACGAGUAGGGCGAGGCACGUGAAACCUUGUCUGAAUAUGGGGGGACCAUCCUCCAAGGCUAAAUACUCCUGACUGACCGAUAGUGAACCAGUAC
This 460-nucleotide ribosomal RNA is filed under the name Acinetobacter baumannii. Its description in RNAcentral is "bacterial LSU rRNA". It matches the Rfam family "Bacterial large subunit ribosomal RNA", at positions 1 to 501 of the family's 2925-position model. The record is from RNAcentral. Lineage: Bacteria; Pseudomonadati; Pseudomonadota; Gammaproteobacteria; Moraxellales; Moraxellaceae.